CCCGCGCGAUCUCACCGUUGUUCAGAUCACCGCGCGACUCGUCGCUACGAUCGUCGUCCCUGAUGCUUUCCGACUCGAUCGUUUCGUUCGAUUCAGUCAGCUGCUUCUCCUCGCCGUUGAACUUCACACGGUCCCACUCGGCCAUGAUGACGCCGCCAAGGAGGAGGAGAAGGCUGGCCGUUCAGGUGCGAUUGUCUGAGAACCAAGAUCUCAAUUUUCAAGAUUUUCGAGUGGACUGUAUUAGUGAGAAAUAAAGAAAGAUAUGAAAAAUAAACAAAGUAUACUACUGAAAGAAGCAAUCUCAAAGAGGAGAGUUGGUGUUCCUCAAGACCACGGCGGAUUUAGUGACACAACAAAUUUUUCAACAUUUAUAAAGCCGUUUGGAACAAAAUAAACACAACAAUGUAACAGUAAAAGCUUUUCGCUUUGAAAUGAAACCAAAAAAUUUCAACAUACCUAAAUACGCGACACGAUUCAUUUACAUAAACAAAGGAAUCAAGACAAUGAAUCAUGGAUUUGACACAAUGUUUACGAUGCACUUUUCACGAGUUCCCGAUUUAUACGCAUUAUAAUACUCGUUCAUACUUCGUGAUCUCAAGCAAUUAUUCUGAACAAAUGACCUACU
Molecule: non-coding RNA, 625 nt
Organism: Nomia melanderi (Alkali bee)
Lineage: Eukaryota; Metazoa; Arthropoda; Insecta; Hymenoptera; Halictidae
Source: RefSeq, a predicted model, not a curated record